CCUUGUGCCUUUAGAGAAGAGGAACUACCCAGUUAACCAUUCCGAACCUGGAAGUCAAGCUCUUCAUCGCUGAUAAUACCUGUCUCUUWUACAAGAGUGGGAAUGUAGGUCGGUGGCAGGGA
RNAcentral lists this ribosomal RNA (122 nucleotides) under Helicobacter pylori. Lineage: Bacteria; Pseudomonadati; Campylobacterota; Epsilonproteobacteria; Campylobacterales; Helicobacteraceae. The record is from RNAcentral.